Molecule: ribosomal RNA, 423 nt
Filed under: uncultured bacterium
Lineage: Bacteria
Description: bacterial SSU rRNA
Rfam family: Bacterial small subunit ribosomal RNA
Source: RNAcentral
GUACGCUGGCGGCACGCCUAACACAUGCAAGUCGAACGCAGUAGCAAUACUGAGUGGCAAACGGGUGAGUAUAAUGUGGGUAUCUGCCUUUUGGUUUGGAAUAACACGGGGAAACUUGUGCUAAUACCGAAUAAGCCCUUACGGGGAAAGUUUUAACGCCGAAAGAUGAGCCCGCACUUGAUUAGCUAGUUGGUAAGGUAAAAGCUUACCAAGGCAACGAUCAAUAGCUGUUCUUAGAGGAAGACCAGCCACAUUGGGACUGAGACACGGCCCAGACUCCUACGGGAGGCAGCAGUGGGGAAUCUUGCACAAUGGGGGAAACCCUGAUGCAGCGAUGCCGCGUGAGUGAAGAAGGCCCUUGGGUUGUAAAACUCUUUCGUCGGGGAAGAAAAUGACUGUACCCGAAUAAGAAGGUCCGGCUAA